UCCAGACUCCUACGGGAGGCAGCAGUGGGGAAUAUUGGACAAUGGGGGGAACCCUGAUCCAGCGACGCCGCGUGAGUGAAGAAGUAUUUCGGUAUGUAAAGCUCUAUCAGCAGGGAAGAAAAUGACGGUACCUGAGUAAGAAGCCCCGGCUAACUACGUGCCAGCAGCCGCGGUAAUACGUAGGGGGCAAGCGUUAUCCGGAUUUACUGGGUGUAAAGGGAGCGUAGACGGCCAGACAAGUCUGAAGUGAAAAUCCAGCGCUUAACGUUGGAAGUGCUUUGGAAACUGCCGGGCUAGAGUGCAGGAGGGGCAGGCGGAAUUCCUAGUGUAGCGGUGAAAUGCGUAGAUAUUAGGAGGAACACCAGUGGCGAAGGCGGCCUGCUGGACUGCAACUGACGUUGAGGCUCGAAGGCGUGGGGAGCAAACAGGAUUAGAUACCCUAGUA
RNAcentral lists this ribosomal RNA (445 nucleotides) under uncultured bacterium. RNAcentral's name for it is "bacterial SSU rRNA". It matches the Rfam family "Bacterial small subunit ribosomal RNA", at positions 330 to 792 of the family's 1533-position model. The record is from RNAcentral.